GUGGUGCAUGGUUGUCGUCAGCUCGUGUCGUGAGAUGUUGGGUUAAGUCCCGCAACGAGCGCAACCCCUACCCCCAGUAGCCAGCGCGUGGAGGCGGGCACUCUGUGGGGGCUGCCAGGGACAACCUGGAGGAAGGCGGGGAUGACGUCAAAUCAUCAUGCCCCUUAUGGCUUGGGCUACACACGUGCUACAAUGGCGUUAACAGAGGGAUGCGAUGCGGCGACGCGGAGCGAACCCCAGAAACAGCGCCCCAGUUCGGAUUGCAGCCUGCAACUCGGCUGCAUGAAGCCGGAAUCGCUAGUAAUCGUGGAUCAGAAUGCCGCGGUGAAUACGUUCCCGGGUCUUGUACACACCGCCCGUCACACCAUGGGAGUUGGGAAUGCCCGAAGUCAGUGGCCCAACCGUAAGGGGGGAGCUGCCGAAGGCAGAUCCGAUGACUGGGGUGAAGUCGUAACAGGGUAGCCGUAUCGGAAGGUGCGGUUGGAUCACCUCCG
Molecule: ribosomal RNA, 494 nt
Filed under: uncultured bacterium
Lineage: Bacteria
Description: bacterial SSU rRNA
Rfam family: Bacterial small subunit ribosomal RNA
Source: RNAcentral